RNAcentral lists this ribosomal RNA (474 nucleotides) under uncultured bacterium. Its description in RNAcentral is "bacterial SSU rRNA". It matches the Rfam family "Bacterial small subunit ribosomal RNA", at positions 30 to 480 of the family's 1533-position model. The record is from RNAcentral.
AUUGAACGCUGGCGGCAGGCCUAACACAUGCAAGUCGAGCGGCAGCGACAACAUUGAUUCUUCGGAGGAUUUGUUGGGCGGCGAGCGGCGGACGGGUGAGUAAUGGCUGGGAACCUGCCCUGACGUGGGGGAUAACAGUUGGAAACGACUGCUAAUACCGCAUGAUGUCUUCGGACCAAAGAGGAGGACCUUCGGGCUUCUCGCGUCGGGAUGGGCCCAGUUGGGAUUAGCUAGUUGGUGAGGUAAUGGCUCACCAAGGCGACGAUCCCUAGCUGGUUUGAGAGGAUGAUCAGCCACACUGGAACUGAGACACGGUCCAGACUCCUACGGGAGGCAGCAGUGGGGAAUAUUGCACAAUGGGCGCAAGCCUGAUGCAGCCAUGCCGCGUGUGUGAAGAAGGCCUUCGGGUUGUAAAGCACUUUCAGUCGUGAGGAAGGUAGUGUAGUUAAUAGCUGCAUUAUUUGACGUUUAGCG